This 301-nucleotide ribosomal RNA is filed under the name uncultured bacterium. Its description in RNAcentral is "partial 16S ribosomal RNA". It matches the Rfam family "Bacterial small subunit ribosomal RNA", at positions 509 to 807 of the family's 1533-position model. The record is from RNAcentral.
CAGUCGCCGCGGUAAUACGUAGGGUGCAAGCGUUAAUCGGAAUUACUGGGCGUAAAGCGUGCGCAGGCGGUUUGUUAAGACAGAUGUGAAAUCCCCGGGCUCAACCUGGGAACUGCAUUUGUGACUGGCGAGCUAGAGUAUGGCAGAGGGGGGUAGAAUUCCACGUGUAGCAGUGAAAUGCGUAGAGAUGUGGAGGAAUACCGAUGGCGAAGGCAGCCCCCUGGGCCAAUACCGACGCUCAUGCACGAAAGCGUGGGGAGCAAACAGGAUUAGAUACCCCCGUAGUCCCUGUCUCUUAUAC